RNAcentral lists this long non-coding RNA (1191 nucleotides) under Equus asinus (donkey). RNAcentral describes it as "lncRNA (ENSEASG00005029170.1)". Lineage: Eukaryota; Metazoa; Chordata; Mammalia; Perissodactyla; Equidae. The record is from RNAcentral.
CCCAGCUCACCUGUGAGCACCCAGCUGGAGACAACAGAUCUGCCACCCUGCUGUAUCCACCAAGACAGCAAACCUAUCUGCUGUGUCCAUCAAUCGCUGUGCAGACAGAGCAGUCCCACGACUAUUGUAAAAGGACAUUUCAACCCUAAGUGAAACAUCCUCUUUGGGAGUAUAUAACCACUCUGUACACCCCACUUCUUUGGUGCCCUUUCUUCCUUUGGGAAGACAGGCCCCGGGCCAUGGUCCUCACAUUUUAGCUCAGAAUAAAUUCACCCAAAUUUUCAUUUAUAGAUUGGUUAUGGAUUAUUUUUGUUGACAUUUCUUGGUGUAGUUGGCAGGAUUUCAGAGAAACUCACUGAAGACCACCUGGAAUCUACACUGAACUGGCAUUUGGCACCAAUAGGGGCCCACUGAGCCCCCUGGAUCACUGCAUUCUUCAGGUGACCCUGCUAAAGACAAAGGAGGAUGUUGGGGGUCGGAGGAGUCGACCAUAGGAGAUUACCAUACAAGUACAGUAAAGAAGAGUCAGGUUAUUAUGCAGACUUGAGUCCUUGCCUUCCACAUUGAUGAGUUUCUAGAGACAAGGUCAUCCCUCCUUCUUCCUGGUCCAGCAAGGGAGACACCUGUACAGAUGGAGAUUUCCUUUACAAUGUAAAUGUCUCUUAACAAAGGGUAAGUAAAUUCUACUUUUCAGAGUUUCUUUCCUGUCUGCAUUUUUUAAAAGUAACCAGCCCAAAAUAUUCCUCAUGCCAAAGACACAUAUCUUGGGAUGGCCAAUUCCAGUCCCCCACACUGGGAACUGUGCAGAGGUAGGGGAAGGUCUCCUACUCCCUCUUUCCAUCCUUCAAAAACAAUAUUUCCUAUUCACCUGGGGUAUGUGCAAUUUAUGAUGUGAAGAACAACAGAUCAAGAAGAAAACUUCCCUUAAUGCUUUUAGCUUCAUUGUGAGGGAUGAAAGGGAAAACAUGAGCCUUGAAUGAUGAAGUGUUUACGGUGUGGCAAGUCCACAAAUACAUGUACUUGGCUAACAAUUCUUCUGAGGAUUCAUCUUCCUUGUCCCUUUAAUUGUACUGAUUUUAAAUUUGGUUUUGCCCCCACUAUAAAUGUUAGGAGAUCUUUCCAAGCCUUUAGCCUCACUAUCCAAAUGAAAACAAGUUUAACACAAAGACAGUAGGGACAAAGACAUCUUAU